CUCUUCCUCCAUUAAUAAAAGCCUCCUUUAUUUGAUUCUCAUCAUACUCCUCGAGUUGGAGAGAAUUCAUCCACGAAUUCUGAAUCCCUGCAUAUAACAAAGUCAGUUUAGUUUUACAAUUGAAAGUGGAAGAAAAAUGUAAACAUGACUUAGCAUUUGUAAAUAAUGGGAUUUCAGAAAAGGAUCGCCUCGUACCAAAGCAUCUUUCAAUAUCCUUGAAUCGGAGGCAGUUCCUUCCCAACCGGCUAAGACAU
This 254-nucleotide long non-coding RNA is filed under the name Phaseolus vulgaris (common bean). Its description in RNAcentral is "long non-coding RNA (PVUL_LNC001743)". Lineage: Eukaryota; Viridiplantae; Streptophyta; Magnoliopsida; Fabales; Fabaceae. The record is from RNAcentral.